UAGUUCAUAUCUUAUCAUGAAUCUUUUCUUCUUCGCCAACAGCAACCAUCCGGGACAGCGUGUUCAAGACUAGAUAUCCGGAAGGAUACAGUAAAUGAUGAACUUCCACCAGACAGCCCCUGGAUUCCCUUGACAGAAAAACCUUGCAACGUUGAUGCCUUUGCAGACACAAUCAACAUCGAUAGCAAGGAGGGAUUCAGCGACAAGGAAGGGAAAACAAGUGAAGCAACAAUGGGCCAAAGUGACAGAGACUUAUCAUUUACUG
Haliotis rufescens (red abalone) is the source of this 265-nucleotide long non-coding RNA. RefSeq lists it as uncharacterized. Lineage: Eukaryota; Metazoa; Mollusca; Gastropoda; Lepetellida; Haliotidae. The transcript has 3 exons. The record is from RefSeq and is a predicted model, not a curated record.